UGGCAACUGUAACCAAGACAAAUGACCAUGUG
RNAcentral lists this non-coding RNA (32 nucleotides) under Mus musculus (house mouse). The record is from RNAcentral. Lineage: Eukaryota; Metazoa; Chordata; Mammalia; Rodentia; Muridae.